RNAcentral lists this unclassified non-coding RNA (264 nucleotides) under Hevea brasiliensis (rubber tree). The record is from RNAcentral. Lineage: Eukaryota; Viridiplantae; Streptophyta; Magnoliopsida; Malpighiales; Euphorbiaceae.
UUAUACCUCUUUUACCGGUUUUUGUUUUGCAUUAGGUUCGCUUCUUCUACUCAUUUACUUGCCGUGAAAACUUGUACCUUGUGAUGGAAUACUUGAAUGGUGGGGACCUAUAUUCACUGUUGAGAAAUCUAGGCUGCUUAGAUGAAGAAGUUGUUCGUGUUUAUAUUGCUGAAGUUGUGCUUGCCCUGGAAUACUUGCACUCUCAGCAUGUGGUUCAUCGAGAUCUGAAGCCUGACAAUUUGUUGAUUGCACAUGAUGGUCAUA